RNAcentral lists this ribosomal RNA (445 nucleotides) under uncultured bacterium. RNAcentral's name for it is "bacterial SSU rRNA". It matches the Rfam family "Bacterial small subunit ribosomal RNA", at positions 60 to 524 of the family's 1533-position model. The record is from RNAcentral.
AGUCGAACGGACUUAAUGAGCUUGCUUAUUAAGUUAGUGGCGCACGGGUGAGUAAUAUAUAGCUAACCUGCCCUUUAGUGGGGGACAACAGUUGGAAACGACUGCUAAUACCCCAUACUCCUUCUUAUCUUAAGAUCAGUUGGGAAAGAUUUAUCGCUAAAGGAUGGGGCUUUAUUGUAUCAGCUAGUUGGUGGGGUAAUGGCCCACCAAGGCAAUGACGCAUACCUGGUCUGAGAGGAUGAUCAGGCACACUGGAACUGAGACACGGUCCAGACUCCUACGGGAGGCAGCAGUGGGGAAUAUUGCACAAUGGAGGAAACUCUGAUGCAGCAACGCCGCGUGGAGGAUGACGCAUUUCGGUGUGUAAACUCCUUUUAUAGGGGAAGAUAAUGACGGUACCCUAUGAAUAAGCACCGGCUAACUCCGUGCCAGCAGCCGCGGUAAU